AAAAUACAAAUACACACUCACAUGAGUAUACAACACAAUCACUGAAUCAGACAAUCAGUAACUCACUUACUCACAGAAUACAGAAUCUACAGAUCACACAUCACAGAGUCACAGACUUCACAGUGUUACACUUACACAGACUCACGGAUUUGCAUUUUACAGUAAUUCACAAAGUAUUCACCUCACCGCAACAAAAUAAUUCAAUAAUUCACAAGAACAGAACACGAGCAAAGCAAAGUCUCAUUUUGGCUCACAAACCCUCACUCACUCAAACAGUCAAACACUCACCAGUCACUGCCUCACGAUAUCACAAACCCUCACUGUCACACACAAAUCACUGAAAGUCUGAAACCAGCACUCAAGCCGUUAAGCACAAGCAGUCAACCCACACCCAUUCCCGCCUCACGACCUCCGUCGCUCACCACACGCAGCAAAUACACACUCACAGUUCACGGAGCUACCUUCAAUCGGCCACCACACGCAGCAACCGCUGCCGAGAACGACCCGAACUGAAGCCGAAGCUGAUUCGCGAAGAUCGUGACCCGAUCUACAGAUCUGCUGCAACCAAGCGCCGGAUCCAAGCCUUGAAUCCUCCACUCCACCAUCACUCAGUCCGAUUGAAGAUCCACCCGGCAAGCUGCCUCCGAUCCGCUCGAGUCUCCACCAUUGGCAUUCACGAGUCACGCCUGUUGAGUGUUGACAUCCGGCCACCACACCCUCACGGUCACGCCUCACGGUCACGGGUCACGGCUCCAGUCUCAAAACUCAAAAGGUCUCUUCACUCUUUGUUUUGGAAGUUGAAAGUUUGGAUUUGGAACUUGAACUCUUGAAGCCCGAACCGAAUCAGCAAAUCCGGCUUUUG
RNAcentral lists this long non-coding RNA (862 nucleotides) under Citrus sinensis (sweet orange). RNAcentral describes it as "long non-coding RNA (CSIN_LNC002064)". Lineage: Eukaryota; Viridiplantae; Streptophyta; Magnoliopsida; Sapindales; Rutaceae. The record is from RNAcentral.